This is a long non-coding RNA of Phaethon lepturus (White-tailed tropicbird), 698 nucleotides long. RefSeq lists it as uncharacterized. Lineage: Eukaryota; Metazoa; Chordata; Aves; Phaethontiformes; Phaethontidae. The transcript has 3 exons. The record is from RefSeq and is a predicted model, not a curated record.
CAGAGCAGUUUCCAAGUGAUCUUCUCCACAGCACCCAUGAACUUCAGCCUUGGACUGAAGAGGACUCCUGAAAUGCCUUAGGAGACACAGCAUGGAAUUGGAAGAAAAGCAAGGAUAUCCACGAAGGGCAGUCAACUUGCAGUUUUGGUCUGUGGAGGAACAGGUCCUGUUCUCACUGUUGUUACUCCCACAUAGGCGGACUCUGUAAUUGAUUAUGUGUGGGUAGGGCCCUAUUCAAAUUAAGGAGAUUCCGCAAUAGUGCAGGGUUCUUUUUGUGAAAGUUCAGUUGCAAGAUCAGGACCCUACUGUGACUCCUUACUGUGAAUUCUGUCAGUGUAUCAUUGAUUGUGCUGGAACCUGCCUUUUGGGAUAAUGUAAGUCCUGCUUUUCCCCCAAAUGUACUUUAGACAUGAAAUAACCAUAAAACAUUUCAAAUUAGAAAAUUAGUAUCAUUUACAUGCAUUCUUUUAAUUAUGUUUUUUUGGCAGUACCAUAUAAUAUAUUCCUCAAAACUUCUUAAUGGCACUGAGGCUUUGUGGAUAGUUGGUCACAUGAUGAGAAAAUUCAGCUGUAAGUACAUUGAAAUGAUUGAAUUUUUCAAUAGUUAGUCUUUACUGAUGUUGACAAACUUAAUAAUGAUAAAACGGUGAAUGAAGAGGUUUGACUUACGUCAAUUGACUUCAGUUUUUUUAGAAAAU